GACUACAGAGUACUAUAGCUUGAAUUCUUUUGAGCAACAAUUUCCAAAUCAAGAGAAUUUAGAAGACUCUCGGCUGUAUCAUUAUGCAUUGUUUUCAGACAAUGUUCUGGCUGCAGCAGUUGUUGUGAAUCCACUGUUACCCAUGCUAAGGACCCUUCAAAACAUGUUUUUCACAUUGUUACUGAUAGGCUUAAUUAUGCAGCAAUGAGAAUGUGGUUUCUAGUGAAUCAGCCAGGCAAAGCUACUAUUCAGGUUCAGAAUAUUGAAGAAUUGACAUGGUUAAAUUCAAGUUAUAGUCCUGUUCUCAAGCAGCUGGGUUCUCCUUCAAUGAUAGAUUAUUACUUUAGGGCACAUCGUACUAACUCUGAUAAUAAUUUGAAGUACCGAAACCCAAAGUACUUAUCUAUCCUAAACCAUCUACGAUUUUACCUGCCUGAGAACAGGACUAUAACUUGAAUUUAAC
This 463-nucleotide unclassified non-coding RNA is filed under the name Hevea brasiliensis (rubber tree). The record is from RNAcentral. Lineage: Eukaryota; Viridiplantae; Streptophyta; Magnoliopsida; Malpighiales; Euphorbiaceae.